This 429-nucleotide ribosomal RNA is filed under the name Chloroflexota bacterium. RNAcentral's name for it is "Chloroflexi bacterium partial 16S ribosomal RNA". It matches the Rfam family "Bacterial small subunit ribosomal RNA", at positions 355 to 776 of the family's 1533-position model. Lineage: Bacteria; Bacillati; Chloroflexota. The record is from RNAcentral.
UGGGGAAUAUUGCACAAUGGGCGCAAGCCUGAUGCAGCCAUGCCGCGUGUAUGAAGAAGGCCUUCGGGUUGUAAAGUACUUUCAGUCGGGAGGAAGGUGGUAAGGUUAAUAACCUUAUCAAUUGACGUUACCGACAGAAGAAGCACCGGCUAACUCCGUGCCAGCAGCCGCGGUAAUACGGAGGGUGCAAGCGUUAAUCGGAAUUACUGGGCGUAAAGCGCACGCAGGCGGUUGAUUGAGUCAGAUGUGAAAUCCCCGGGCUUAACCCGGGAAUUGCAUCUGAUACUGGUCAGCUAGAGUCUUGUAGAGGGGGGUAGAAUUCCAUGUGUAGCGGUGAAAUGCGUAGAGAUGUGGAGGAAUACCGGUGGCGAAGGCGGCCCCCUGGACAAAGACUGGCGCUCAGGUGCGAAAGCGUGGGGAGCAAACAGG